RNAcentral lists this ribosomal RNA (493 nucleotides) under uncultured bacterium. RNAcentral's name for it is "partial 16S ribosomal RNA". It matches the Rfam family "Bacterial small subunit ribosomal RNA", at positions 29 to 507 of the family's 1533-position model. The record is from RNAcentral.
AACGAACGCUGGCGGCGCGUCUUAAACAUGCAAGUCGAACGGCAGGAAGGGGCUUGCCCCUUCUGAGAGUGGCGGACUGGUGAGUAACACGUGGGUGACAUACCUUUUAGUUGGGGAUAGCUAUUAGCAAUAGUAGGUAAUACCGAAUGUGACCGUACCUGUUAGAGGGGUACGAGGAAAGGAGCUAAGGCUUCGCUAAACGAAUGGCUCGCGGCCCAUUAUGCUCGUUGGUGAGGUAACGGCCCACCAAGGCGAUGAUGGGUAGCCGGCCUGAGAGGGUGAACGGACACAUUGGGACUGAGAUACGGCCCAGACUUCUACGGGAGGCAGCAGUUAAGAAUAUUCCGCAAUGGACGAAAGUCUGACGGAGCGACGCCGCGUGGAUGAAGAAUGCCGAAAGGUUGUAAAAUCCUUUUAAGCCUGAUGAAUAAGCACAGUAGGGAAUGAUUGUGCGGUGACCGUAGGGCUUGAAUAAGCACCGGCUAAUUACGUG